GAGACCUCAGGUCAGGCGGGGCUACCCGCUGAGUUUAAGCAUAUCAAAACGGGGAAAAAAAA
Molecule: ribosomal RNA, 62 nt
Filed under: Psophocarpus tetragonolobus (winged bean)
Lineage: Eukaryota; Viridiplantae; Streptophyta; Magnoliopsida; Fabales; Fabaceae
Description: partial large subunit ribosomal RNA
Source: RNAcentral